Molecule: long non-coding RNA, 587 nt
Organism: Lycium ferocissimum
Lineage: Eukaryota; Viridiplantae; Streptophyta; Magnoliopsida; Solanales; Solanaceae
Exons: 2
Source: RefSeq, a predicted model, not a curated record
ACUUUUCUGCUAUAAAUACUUCAGUUUAGUCUUUUUACUGAUGAACAAACAAACUUUAUUUUAUCGUUUCUUCGUUGUUUUGACAGUUUUCUAUAUAUAUUUGUUCAUUUGUAAAGCGGUUGAGUAGAGCGAGGGAAUGCUUGUUUUUGUGAGUAGUUUUAGCUUUAGCUAUUUGGAUAUUUGAUAUCUGUGGUUAUAUAUGGAUGUAUUUAACUUGUAUCCACUGACAGUGUAAUUUAAUUUACAGUAUAAAUUUUUUUGUAAAUUCUUUUGACUAAUGGAAGAAAUAAUUUUAAUGGCUUUUUCGUUUUUUCUUUGUAGAGCAGUUGAGUAGAAAUGUGAUGGCAUUCCUUGUUUGUACCGUUUUUUCCAUGUCGGUUUAUUCAUUUGUAAAGCGGUCGAGUAGACCGAGGAACACGUGUUUGGGAGUGGCUUUAGCUGUUGGGAUUUGAUAUCUUUGGUUAUAUAUGGAUGGAUUUAACUUGUAUACCCUGACAGUGGAAUCUAAUUUACUCUAUUAGUGUAGUUUUAUCUGUUGUAAGGAGUCGUUUGCCCUGUUUGCUUGUUAGCGAUACACGUUGAAUUGA